Molecule: long non-coding RNA, 5796 nt
Filed under: Setaria italica (foxtail millet)
Lineage: Eukaryota; Viridiplantae; Streptophyta; Magnoliopsida; Poales; Poaceae
Description: long non-coding RNA (SITA_LNC006615)
Source: RNAcentral
ACGCACCAUAGGCGUGGCGGGUGACUGAGCAACCGGUAUGGCGUCUCGAACUUCCAAGAUGGCGAAACUUACCCUCCUUUGCGAAAAACUGAACAGCUGUGUGACGGAUCAUGGUAUAUCAUGUUGAAUUUGAGAUCCAGACUCUAUGCGGACUUUUCAGAAUACACUUAAGGUAUGAGGUCGGACGACGAGAUAAAGGAGCGGGUCAAGGGUGCCCAGGACCUCCGAAGGGGUCGGCGGAGGUCGAGACGGAGGAGGAGGUCUCCCGCCGCCGGCACGGUACAAGGACAAGACCGGCCGGGCGCGAAAGAGGUUGUAGGUGGAAUCGGGCGGCCGACGGCAAAGGAAUUGAACGUGUUGAAACGGAAGAGAGAGGACAGACAUGCUUUGGACCCACCACAAAACAAUAUUGGAAUUUUGACUUGAGGUAAUUUUUGUCUCCUAGUGCAUUGAAGUAUGCCUGAGAACAAAAGCAAAAUAUAUUCAGCUUGGUAUGACAAUUUGACUUGCCACUAUAUCUCUUUAUUGUUCUUAUGAGUGACAAUGUUUCAUGAGACUGGUUACAUCUGGUUUAGCGUAAUGUCCCAUUCAUAUCUGAAAACAUAGGGUUUUUGUUCACCUGACUAUAACUCAUAUUAUUAGUGUUACAUCUUUUUUAUUUGCCAAAUCUGAAUUGUUAUUUUUUUUAUCGUGUUUCUUCAUGCCACGGUCCUGUCCAGCUUUAGCAGGAACAACCCAUACUUACUCCCAAUUUCUAAAUAGAGCUCAACACAAACUUCAUAUAGAAAUAUGUAGAAGGGAGUUGGGAUCCUUCCUUUUGUUUUGAUGUUUCAUACUAAAAAUAAUGCAAUGCUGUUUGGAAAAUGAUAAGAUUGAUAGGCAUAGAGUCCUAUUAGAGUAUGUUGUCCUUCUUCCAGCGAAAUGGUGUGUUUUGUGCGCUCAUCAGAUAAGCUCCUCUCAAUUGAGCAAUAUUUUUAUAUUAUAAAUACAAAAUUAAUGUAGUUCAAUAGUUUUGCCAUGCAAUUUUCUUUUCUUCUUGCAAAAUCUGUCAUUUAAAUUGCGCUUCAAUGUUUCACCGUUCUUAGUUUCCUAUUUCUAAAUUUAAGCACCUUAUAUCCAAGAUUUAGACUUGACAAUAUAAGUUCAAUGAUGAAUUUACUAUAAUUUUGCCUUUUUAUGCUGUUUAAUCUUUGUCAGUUACCCAGCUGGAUGAUCAAUAUUUCUACCAUAACCCUUCAUGGAUGUAUGGCACUAGAAGUUGUAGUGCAUAGUUUUCUUUCACACAAUCUUGGGUAUCUUACAUUGCUUAUAUUUUCUUUUCCUUGAUUUCAGAUAGAAUCGCAAGAAUCCUACGCACGCAAACCACUAGUAUCUACUAAAUCUGGGGUAACUUCGAAAACACAACCUGACAGCUGGCCGAGGCCCUGGGGCAGAUAAGCGGAGAGUUGGAGGCCUCGGUGGCUGUCGCGAGUAGCAGCUUAGGGUGGGGGCGCAGCAAGAGGGAGCCAAGCCGGCAGGCCACGGCGAGGACAUUGGUGGCAAAAGCAACCUCCACCGCCCCUCCUCUGAAACUGUCCAUGAUGACGUUGUACAGCGAGCUUGCUAUGCAUGGAGUGGCGGCAAAGGUGUGCUAGUCACUCUGAAGUGCCUCAGUUGGAUGGGUACUAUCCAGGCGCUGCCAACAAGCAAUGAAACGGUUGAAUUGAUGUUUAUAGCAUGCGGAAUGAAACUGAAUGCUGCAAUUGCGUACCGUGACGGUGAGUUCUAUCAGAUAGGGCAUGUACCGCAGCAGAUCCAAGAACUCGGUGACUCCGUGCGGGCUGGACAUGUGGAGGUGCACCCCAAGAAUUGUCAGGUUGGGGAGGGUCGGGAUCCAUCGGUUCCGGCUCUGGAUCAUCAACGGCAGAGACAGGUGAUGAGAUUAUGACAGGCAGCUGGUCAGCGCAGUGCAAUGAGCAAGAAGAUGGAAGCGUACUCGUACCCAGGUCGUGGAGGAGGAUCGUGAGCCCAUGUAGCUCGCGCAAGGCGCCUAGUGUCCGCAGGUCCAAACGUAGCUGGCCUCCCGUGCCCAGCGGCUGAACUCCAGCGGAGAGGAUCGUCAGCCUAGGUGCGUAGUCGAGCCUGAUGCCGCCUGACGCCGUGCACAAGGCCUUCUCGAGGCGCGUCAGGCUGCUGGAGACGAUGGUGAGGCCUUCUGGGCCGCAUCCACUUGUGACGUGGCAGCACACGAGCACGAGCAGCUGGAGGGCGCGCAGCUCGAGGAGGAGCGCCGACAGGUCCUGCCAGCACAGGUCGCACCCCAUCAGCCUGAGCACCGCCGGGCACAGGGAAAGGUGGCCGGCGUCCAGCGGCUUCAGGGCAAAGAAGCCCAGUGAGAGUUUCCUAAGGCCGCCGGGUCCAUCUGGGAGGAGACGCAGAUGGAAGGCCUCGUCUGCGGGCCGGUUCCUAUUGACGAGCACCAGCUCCUGGAGGGGGUGGCCUCUCUUCUUGGCCCAGAUCAACUUCAUCCACUUCCUCACCAGUUUCGGCGACGGGCACUUCGAGACUUCGACCCGGAUGCAGUUCACCGGGCCUGGAUGCUCCUUCAGCACAUCGCGGAUAGCGGCGGUGCUCACCCAUGUCGAGACGUCCCCGAGGUCGGGGGCCAGAUCGACGAUAGCCCUGACCAGCCCUUCGUCGUGGAUGACUAGUGGUACGCUCCUCAACGCGACCUCCCAACACCCCUUCUUCACCCCCGCCGCCUCCCCCUCCUCGGGCCCCACCUUCUUCCCCGCCAUAGCCUCCUCCCCGGGCUCGAUGACGCGGCCGUAGGCGAGGAUGUCCUUGUAGACCUCCACCUCCUCGAAGCGCUCCUCGCCGUGCUCCGAGGUCAAGACGAUGCUGGCGUCGGGGAGCGGCGGAAGCAUGUUGAGGGCCGCGGCGACGAGGUCCGACAUGGAUCUACCAUCGCUACUAUCUCUUGGAUGGAUCGAAACUUGGGAUUAGGGUUCUUUCAGGCAAGAUCGAUUGGAUUCUACUCGACCGUUGCAGGUCCCGCUUCCAAAUUCAACCGACUCACCUUGGGACCUGCAACGGUCGAGUAGAAUCCAAUUGAUCUUGCCUGAAAGAACCCUAAUCCCAAGUUCCAAUCCAUCCAAGAGAUAGCAGCGAUGGUAGAACGCACGCCGGACCUCGUCGCCGCGCCCCUCAACAUGCUUCCGCCGCUCCCUGGCGCCAGCAUCGUCUUGACCUCGGAGCACGGCGAGGAGCGCUUCGAGGAGGUGGAGGUCUACAAGGACAUUCUCGCCUACGGCCGCGUCAUCGAGCCCGGGGAGGAGGCUAUGGCGAGGAAGAAGGUGGGGCCCAAGGAGGAGGAGGCGGCGGGGGCCGAGGAGGCGGCGGCGGGGUGAAGAAGGGGCGUUGGGAGGUCACGUGGAGGAGCGUACCGCUAGUCAUCCACGACACAGGGCUGGUCAGGGCUAUCGUCGAUCUGGCCACCGACCUCGGGGACGUCUCGACAUGGGUGAGCACCGCCACUAUCCGCGAUGUGCUGAAGGAGCAUCCGGGCCCGGUGAAUUGCAUCCGGGUCGAAGUCUCGAAGUGCCCGUCACCGAAACUGGUGAGGAAGUGGAUGAAGUUGAUCCGAGCCAAGAAGAGAGGCCGCCCCCUCCAGGAGCUGGUGCUCGUCAAUAAGAACCAGCCGCAGACGAGGCCUUCCAUCUGCGUCUCCUCCCAAGCGGACCCGGCGGCCUUAGGAAACUCUCACUGGGCUUCUUUGCCCUGAAGCCGCUGGACGCCGGCCACCUUUCCCUGUGCCCGGCGGUGCUCAGGCUGAUAGGGUGCGACCUGUGCUGGCAGGACCUGUCGGCGCUCCUCCUCGAGCUGCGCGCCCUCCAGCUGCUCGUGCUCGUGUGCUACCACGUCACAAGUGGAUGCGGCCCAGAAGGCCUCACCAUCGUCUCCAGCAGCCUGACGCGCCUCGAGAAGGCCUUGUGCACGGCGUCAGGCGGCAUCAGGCUCGACUACGCACCUAGGCUGACGAUCCUCUCCGCUGGAGUUCAGCCGCUGGGCACGGGAGGCCAGCUACGUUUGGACCUGCGGACACUAGGCGCCUUGCGCGAGCUACAUGGGCUCACGAUCCUCCUCCACGACCUGGGUACGAGUACGCUUCCAUCUUCUUGCUCAUUGCACUGCGCUGACCAGCUGCCUGUCAUAAUCUCAUCACCUGUCUCUGCCGUUGAUGAUCCAGAGCCGGAACCGAUGGAUCCCGACCCUCCCCAACCUGACAAUUCUUGGGGUGCACCUCCACAUGUCCAGCCCGCACGGAGUCACCGAGUUCUUGGAUCUGCUGCGGUACAUGCCCUAUCUGAUAGAACUCACCGUCACGGUACGCAAUUGCAGCAUUCAGUUUCAUUCCGCAUGCUAUAAACAUCAAUUCAACCGUUUCAUUGCUUGUUGGCAGCGCCUGGAUAGUACCCAUCCAACUGAGGCACUUCAGAGUGACCAGCAGACCUUUGCCGCCACUCCAUGCAUAGCAAGCUCGCUGUACAACGUCAUCAUGGACAGUUUCAGAGGAGGGGCGGUGGAGGUUGCUUUUGCCACCAAUGUCCUCGCCGUGGCCUGCCGGCUUGGCUCCCUCUUGCUGCGCCCCCACCCUAAGCUGCUACUCGCGACAGCCACCGAGGCCUCCAACUCUCCGCUUACCUGCCCCAGGGCCUCGGCCAGCUGUCAGGUUGUGUUUUCGGAGUUACCCCAGAUUUAGUAGAUACUAGUGGUUUGCGUGCGUAGGAUUCUUGCGAUUCUAUCUGAAAUCAAGGAAAAGAAAAUAUAAGCAAUGUAAGAUACCCAAGAUUGUGUGAAAGAAAACUAUGCACUACAACUUCUAGUGCCAUACAUCCAUGAAGGGUUAUGGUAGAAAUAUUGAUCAUCCAGCUGGGUAACUGACAAAGAUUAAACAGCAUAAAAAGGCAAAAUUACAGUAAAUUCAUCAUCGAACUUAUAUUGUCAAGUCUAAAUCUUGGAUAUAAGGUCCUUAAAUUUAGAAAUAGGAAACUAAGAACGGUGAAACAUUGAAGCGCAAUUUAAAUGACAGAUUUUGCAGGAAGAAAAGAAAAUUGCAUGGCAAAACUAUUGAACUACAUUAAUUUUGUAUUUAUAAUAUUAAAAAUAUUGCUCAAUUGAGGGGAGCUUAUCUGAUGAGCGCACAAAACACACCAUUUCGCUGGAAGAAGGACAACAUACUCUAAUAGGACUCUAUGCCUAUCAAUCUUAUCAUUUUCCAAACAGCAUUGCAUUAUUUUUAGUAUGAAACAUCAAAACAAAAGGAAGGAUCCCAACUCCCUUCUACAUAUUUCUAUAUGAAGUUUGUGUUGAGCUCUAUUUAGAAAUUGGGAGUAAGUAUGGGUUGUUCCUGCUAAAGCUGGACAGGACCGUGGCAUGAAGAAACACGAUAAAAAAAAUAACAAUUCAGAUUUGGCAAAUAAAAAAGAUGUAACACUAAUAAUAUGAGUUAUAGUCAGGUGAACAAAAACCCUAUGUUUUCAGAUAUGAAUGGGACAUUACGCUAAACCAGAUGUAACCAGUCUCAUGAAACAUUGUCACUCAUAAGAACAAUAAAGAGAUGUAGUGGCAAGUCAAAUUGUCAUACCAAGCUGAAUAUAUUUUGCUUUUGUUCUCAGGCAUACUUCAAUGCACUAGGAGACAAAAAUUACCUCAAGUCAAAAUUCCAAUGCCAUGAUUCUGCAGGAGCACAUUAAGUUUUUGAACAUCGCCAUCCUUCUGCGACUGACUAGAACAUAUUGUGACCACUGAUGUUGG